AUGACUCAUUAUAGGGAUCAUCACUGUCAUUUGUUACCAAAGGCGCUUUGUUUCUAUGGAAGUGUAGAGCUUGGGAAACCACGAGGAGGAGGCACAGUGCUGUUUCCUGAGUGUAAAGUGGACUCUUGGUGUUGCUUUGCUGAAGCUACCAUUUGCCAUUGAUGAAGCUUCUUCUCUUCCUUUGGUGAGUAAGAGGGAGUGAACAGUCAGUCAAAGUAGU
This is a small nucleolar RNA of Prolemur simus (greater bamboo lemur), 220 nucleotides long. Its record names the gene U3. It matches the Rfam family "Small nucleolar RNA U3". From Rfam's summary of the family: Small nucleolar RNAs (snoRNAs) are involved in the processing and modification of rRNA in the nucleolus. There are two main classes of snoRNAs: the box C/D class, and the box H/ACA class. Lineage: Eukaryota; Metazoa; Chordata; Mammalia; Primates; Lemuridae. The record is from Ensembl.